This 14726-nucleotide long non-coding RNA is filed under the name Musa acuminata (dwarf banana). RNAcentral's name for it is "long non-coding RNA (MACU_LNC005083)". The record is from RNAcentral. Lineage: Eukaryota; Viridiplantae; Streptophyta; Magnoliopsida; Zingiberales; Musaceae.
GGUGAGAGGCUCUCUAUACAAACAUAGUUUUCUGUCUGUGGAACAGUUUGGUUACCUCCGUGCGUUGUGUGUUGACGUCGAUGGUGAUGCAGAACGGAGCGAUCAAGGUGGGAGCAUGGGGAGGGAACGGAGGGUCGGCCUUCGACAUGGGACCUGCUCAUCGUAUCAUCAGCGUCAAGAUUUUUUCCGGAGACGUGGUCGACGCCGUGGACGUCACCUUCACCUACUACGGGAAGACGGAGACCCGACACUUCGGUGGCAGCGGUGGUACUCCCCACGAGGUUCNNNNNNNNNNNNNNNNNNNNUUAUCAGAGCAAUUGCAUCACUGAUUGGUUUGAGACUUCAGCCUUUAGGAUCGCAUAAAUAUAUAAACGAAAAUAAAUUAAUUUGAUGUAGAUAGUGAUUGGAGCAAUAUUUUUUGGGUUUGUCAAUUGACUUCGCAGUGGUGUUAUAUGAGCACUCAUACAUGAAGAUUUUUUUGGCGUAAUUGUCUUGCCUUAGACCUUUAGUCAUGCGAUUACUCACGAUCUAUAAAAUUAAUUUUUAUAUUUUAUAUUAUCUAUCUAGUGUUUUUAUAUAAAUAUUUAUUUAUGAGAUCUCGAGUUUCGUACUUUUACUAAUCCGUUUUCUUUUUUUAAGCUUUUAGAAGAUUUAAGGAGAUUACGAUGAGGCUAAUCCUUGAUGAACAUACAAGGGUACUCCACAAUCUAGAUAAAAUCAACUAAAUCUGUAAAUCUCUAAUUACACACGUAACCAUCAACCUAGAAAAGAAGAAUAAAUCAACAUAAAUGAGAUGAGAAUAUAUCUCUAAAAAGAAUCCUUGACUAUUAAAAGGGGAAUCCAUUAGAUCAAAUAAUUAUUUAAUCCUUACAUAAAAGGUAGUAUUGAUCUUUCAAUGUAGAAUUGCUAGAUGUUCAUUACAUAAAAAGUAAAAGAAAAUUAGGAACCCAUUAGCAAAUCAGCACCGUUUUAAAAAGUACAAUUUGUGGGCAAAGAUCCAAAAGUCGUACAAGCUGAUGAACAAAACGAUGUGGGCAAAGAUCCAAAAGUCGUACAAGCAGAUGAACAAAACGAUAUGGGGACUCUGGGUUUUGUGGUCCAACAUGCAAUAAUUCAUCAUUGAUUUCAUAAAAGUUAUGGUUCACCUCAAAGGAGGAAACGCUUUCGUCUAGAAUAGAGGAAUCACAACAGGAAAUGCCAAGCCAUGAAAAAUAUAGUAGAAAAUAUUUUCUUUAGAGUCAAUUGGAGAUUUACUCGAGUCUGAAUAGCACUGGUCGGAGUGUCCCUUCCAAAGGAAGAUUUCAAAAACAUACAAAGUUGCAGAUUAUUUCUAUCAUAGAAUGGAAAUAUUGUGGAGCUCAGUUGUUCGUUGGAUUUGUGCUCAACGUCCUAGUUUAAAUUUGAUGUUAGAUAGAUUAAAAAAAGAGAAUUAAUCACCGAUAAAGUUGGUGGAAGUGACAUUAAAUUUAUACAAUUAAAGUGAAACAUUGAAGUCUAAAUGUACGAUCUUAUCUGUGCAUUGAUCAUCUUCUUUUGGGAUGCUCUAAUGGUGAGGAAGGAGGAAAAGUAAAGGGUGUGAGCUAUCGAUGAAUUCACUUUUUGUAUUAUGUUUGUAAAAGGUAUAAAAUAUAAUAUUAUAUUUACGAAAAGUAUGAACACUAUUUUUUUUAAUGUUAUUAAGUAAUAAGGUAAAUUUUAUUAAGAAAGAAGAGAAGAAUAAAAAUCAUGUUUUUCUAAUGACUUAUAAUAAUUCGAAAGAAAAUUGAUUUAUGAUAUAGUAUCUAGAUACAAGAGCUUUAAAUUAUAUAUGUUACAUUAAAGAAUGUUUUCUGAACUAAAUAUAAGUUAUUUCGGUAAUAUUAUAUUUGGUGAUCUAUCUCAAAUACUAGUAAGAGGGUAAAAUUUUUCUUAAACUUAACAAUGACAAAGAAUUAUAUAUUUUAGAUGUUUAUAAUGUUCCUAAUAUGAAAAAUAAUAUUAGAAGCUUGGAAUAAUUAUUCAAAAAAGAUUAUGAUAUUUAGAUGAAAGAUAUGACUCUUUCAAUUCCUAAUAAGAAUUGAAUAAGAAUAAAAAUAUUAAUUUUACAUGUGAAAAUAAUAAAAAAAAUAGAGUGUUUUCUCUAUAUUUUUAUUUUUUUAUCAGUCAAAUUAUUUUAAAACUUAUAUUAACGAUAAUUUUAUAUUAUGACAUCUUAGAUAGGUUGAUUUAAAUUUUAAGACUUCAAAACUUCUAGAGAAAUAUAAUAUAGUAAUAGGAUUGCUAAGAAUUGAUUGUCAAUCAAAAUUAUAUAAAGUGUGUGACUUAGGCAAGCAAUAAAGAAAACUUUUAAAAUUAAGAAGAAUAAAAAGAUCAUAUCAUUGACUAGAUCUAGUAUACUUUGUGACCCUAUUAGUCCAGUAUUAAUUAGAGAAAGCUAUUUUCUUAUCUUCGCUAAUGAUCAUAGUGACAAUUUAGGUUUACAUGUUAAAUGAAAAGAAAUAAGUUCUAAACAAAUUAAAAAAAAUUAAGUAUUUACUUAAAAAACAAAGUAGUUGUAAGGCUAAAUAUUUAAGAACAGAUAAUAGUAGUAAAUAUAUAUCAUAUGAAUUUAUUUUUUUUUAUAAAAAUAAUAAAAUUUUACAUUAAUUCACUAUGUUAUACAUAUCUUAAUAAAAUGAUAUAUCAAAAAGAUAAAAUAGGACUAUACUUAAAUAUAUAUGCAUAUGAUAGUGUGUGUAUAUAUAUACCAUAUAUGAACUCUCUUGUCUCCCAACACGUUUUCAUGUGUGGAUCGCCACGCCAUAUCCUUAUCCGCUCCUCUUUCAUUAUUGACCAACCACCAGCUGUGAUCGUCACUGGUCACGUCUUCGUCAUCGUCGAGAUGCUCCACGAGACCCUUAUCACGUGAUACACGCUUUCCUCGAGGAAGCCACGGACGAGGGGGUGGGCGGUACACCUCCACUCCACCCCGAGAUCAGAGCCAUGGCGAUCCGCUAUAAGUAGCCUCCCUCCAUCUCUCCCUCUUCCCCAACAUCAUCUUCCGCAGAAGAAAGGGAGGAGUUUGGUGCACACAACACGAUGGUGAGAGGCUCUCUAUACACACAUAGUUUUCUGUCUGUGGAACAGUUUGGUUACCUCCGUGCGUUGUGUGUUGACGUCGAUGGUGAUGCAGAACGGAGCGAUCAAGGUGGGAGCAUGGGGAGGGAACGGAGGGUCGGCCUUCGACAUGGGACCUGCUCAUCGGAUCAUCAGCGUCAAGAUUUUUUCCGGAGACGUGGUCGACGCCGUGGACGUCACCUUCACCUCCUACGGGAAGACGGAGACCCGACACUUCGGUGGCAGCGGUGGUACUCCCCACGAGGUUUGCAUCACUACCAAUCUCAAAGCUCAUAGAUGACUGUAGAUUAAUGGCUUCUACUUGGAUGCAGAUUGUUCUGCAGGAGGGCGAGUAUCUGGUGGGAAUGACGGGAGAAUUUGGUAACUACCAUGGAGUGGUGGUGUUGGGGAAGCUUGGCUUCCGCACCAACAAGAAAUCCUACGGACCUUUCGGCAACACGGGAGGGACUCCCUUCUCCCUUCCUAUAGCAGCAGGCAAGAUCUCGGGCUUCUUCGGCCGUGGCGGCGAUUUUCUUGACGCCAUUGGGGUCUACUUGGAGCCAUAAUUGGACACUGCAGUAAAUCACAAGAGUUGCUAUGUGCAACUUCGAGUGAUGAGAUGAACGAUGUCUGCAAUAAAUGGAUCGGUGUUUGCCAUCCCCAGUUGUUGUUGGAUGUCGCUUGGAAUAAUAAUGAUAUGGUGUGUUAUCAUCAGAGCAAUUGCAUCACUGAUUGGUUUGAGACUUCAGCCUUUAGGAUCGCAUAAAUAAAUAAACGAAAGCAAAUUAAUUUGUUGUAGAUAGUAAUUGGAGUAAUAAUUUUGGCGGUAAUGUUUGAUAGUAUUAUAUGAAAUUCUCGAAUAGAUAUUUAUUUUAUUUAAAAUAUUUUUUUAAAUAUCUAUAUGAACAUGCUCUCUAUAUCAAAUUUAAUUUGAUGGAAACAUCUCUAUAUCUAUAUAUAGAUGAUUUAAUUUUUAUAGAUAAUAAUAUUUCCAUGAUCACAUAUCUUAAACACUCUAAGAAGGAGCUUGAGAUUAUCGAUUUGUGCCCAAUUGACUUAUUUCCUUGGGUUCGAAGUUGUAUAAAACAAUAAAAGAAUUUUAAUCUCACAGAAAAAUUAAACAAAGAGAUCUUAAAAAAAAUUUCAAUGGAAAAUUGUCAACUUAUUGAUACACCUGUGAAGUAUAAGACCAAGUUGACUAAGAAAGAUGAAGAGAAAUCAAUUAAUCCAACUAAUGGUAAAAGUCUAGUUAGAUGUUUAAGAUAUUUGAUAUGCACUCAACUCGAUAUAUUAUUUAGAGUUAGUUAAUAAGUAGCUAAAUAGAAGCUCCUAAGACAUCUCAUAUCGCUAAAAAUUUUUACGACAUACUAAAUGAACAAUUAAUUAUGAUCGGGUAGGAAACUACAAUGAUCAUAAGAGUGUAAUCGGAUUUAAUCUUUAUUUUGGUGAAACUACAUUCACAUGCUCUUAAAAAAAAAACUAUUGUUGCACUAUCAAAGUAGAAUAUAUAAUAGUAUUUUCUUAUAUUUAUCAUAUAAUAUGAUUAAAAAUAUUACUUCAAGAACUUCAUGUGUUAUGGGAGAAGUUAAUCAAUAUUUAUAUUGAUAACAAAUCAGCUAUUAUAUUAUUUAUAAACCCAAUCUACUAUAAAAGAUCGAAGCAUACCAACACAAGAUUUUAUUUUAUAAGUGGCCAUUUCGAAAACAAAGAAGUGAAGCUACUUCGACAAUCCAACAAGUGAUUGAUAUACUUAUAAAAUCUCUCAAUAUUUCAAAAACUUUGAUAAAAACUUAUGUUAGAUGAAACAGGUAAGAUACAUUGAAUAAAUCAAAUUGAUUAUUAAUUCUUGUAAGGAGUUUUUUUAAAGAGAGAUUCAUGUUAAAUAUAAUGAAUAUAAUGUAUUUAUGAUGACUAUAUAAAACUCAUGUGUUGGGUUAUAAAAUAUAUAAUUUUUUUAAAAUUAUAAUAAAUUCUUUUUUGAGUAAAUUUACUUUGAGUGAUAGCCCUAUCAUUUCUAUUUAUCUAUUGGCACAAGGGGAGGGAACCGAGGGUCGACGUUUGACAUGAGACCUGCUUAUCGUAUCAUCAGCGUCAAGAUCGGUGCAGGAGGCGUGGUCGACUGCAUGAACGUCACUUUCACCUACUACGGUGGUACUUCCCACGAGGUUUGUAUCACUCUCAAUCUCAAAGCUCAUAGCUGAAUGCAGAUUAAUGGCUUCUACUUGGAUGCAGAUUGUUCUCGAGGAGGACGAGCAUGCGGUGGGAAUGGAGGGAGAGGUUGCUACGUACCAUGGACUGGUGUUCGUAGGAAAGCUUGGUUUCAUCAUCAACAAGAAAGCUUGAUAUUGCCAUUCUUGUAUGUUUCUUGGAAUAAUAAUGAUGUGGUGUGCUUUUAUUAAAGCAAUUGCAUUACUAAUUGGCUCGGUCGGGACUUCAGUCUUUUGCAUGGCAUAAAUAGACCAAAACAAAUUAAGUUGGUGUAGAUAGUGAUUGGGUAUUGGUGUUGAUAGAAAUUGGGCCAUCUAGGAAUAUAAUUCUAAUUCUAUUCAUAUCUGAAAUAUGAUGUUAUCUUUUUAUUAAAUUAUGCUGUCAAUAAUAUAAAUAAUAAAAAAUGGGUAAGUUUGAAAUAUGUCAUUUGCCAAACAAAACAAAAUUAUAUUUGACAGCUGUAAGUAGACCUUAUUUUAAGUUUUUUUAAUAGAAUUUUAUGAUUGAUAUAAUUUAAUAUGAGUCUAAUAUGAAUUGACAAAAUAAAAAAAAAAAAUCUAAUUUUAUCUUUUAAUCUCACAUUUAUUUUAAUAUUCCUCUCAUUUUUAUCUUUGCUUAAUUAUCUACUAUCCCAACUAUGCAUAACUAAAUCGAUUUAUUUUCCUUCACAUGUUUGGUCCUCAACUUCAUUUAUUUUAAACACAAUUAAACUUAUUUAAGUCUUGAGAAUUAUUUAAGGUAUAUUAUAAUAAGAAAGUCUCUUCUGAUUAUUAUAUCUAUACUUAUUGUCAUAAUUUAACCUCAAGUUACUAAUACAUUUACGUUUAUUAUGUUAAAAGACUAUACAUUUUAUUUCUAUAAAAAAAUCUUAAAAAUAGAUAUCAUUGCUUAUAUAUACUUCAACUUAGCAUCUCCAACUUUAUAUGUAAUAUUUGUGAAAGGAUAGAUUUCAAUCUUAAAAGUCAAUAAUAUAUGAGUAUAUUAUAUUAUAAAACAUAAAUAUCUCUUUGGAUAAUCACCAAGUUGUAGUUCUCUGUGUAAAACUUGAGCACUACAAGACAAUAUUCUAGAUGUGCCUUUGGAUAUUGUAUUGGGUUACUUCAGCAUUUGGCUCCGCAAUAGUGUCAUAUGGAUAUUUAUGCAAAUUUCGAAGGUGAUAUAUUACAUUGGAUUUUUUGUUAUGUGAUCAUUUGUAACUUGUAAAAUUCAUUAUUGUAUUAUUCAUUGUCCGUCGAGUAUUUGUUGAGAUAUCAAUUUAUGGAAUCCUGAGUUUAAUACUUUUAUUAAUUUAUUUUUUUAUAAAUUCUUAAAGAAUCCUACAUAUGAUUUAGAUAAAAUCAAAUAAAUCGUAUUCAGACUUGGCAUGUAAGCACCAACAUUGAAGAAAAUAAAUAAAAAUAUUUAAAUAUAUAUUUAUGAAGAAUAAAAUAAAAUUUUGUAUUACUUAAUCAUAUCCUACAGAUCUACGAUCUUCACCAUCAAACCAGAAAAAAAAAAACCGGCAUAUCUCUCUAACGUAGCCGUCGCAUUGGCCAGGCGGAUGUAUAUAAACCGGCAUGUCUCCCAACACGUUUCAAUGUGUCGACCGCCACGCCAUAUCCUUAUCCGUUCCUCUUUAAUUAUUGACCAGACCACCAUCCGUGAUCGUCGCCGGUCACGUCUUCGUCAUCGAGAUGCUCUACACGACCCUCAUCACGUGAUACACGUUUUCCACGAGGAAGCCACGGACGAGGGCGGUACACCUCCACUCCACCCCGACAUCACAGCCAUGGCGAUCCGCUAUAAGUAGCCUCUCUCCCUCUUCCCCAACAUCAUCUUCUGCAGAAGAAAGGGAGGAGUUUGGUGCACACAACACGAUGGUGAGAGGCUCUAUGUAAACACAUAGUUUUCUGUCUGUGGAACAGUUUGGUUACCUCUGUGCGUCGUGUGUUGACGUCGAUGGUGAUGCAGAACGGAGCGAUCAAGGUGGGAGCAUGGGGAGGGAACGGAGGGUCGGCCUUCGACAUGGGACCUGCUUAUCGUAUCAUCAGCGUCAAGAUUUUUUCCGGAGACGUGGUCGACGCCAUGGACGUCACCUUCGCCUACUACGGGAAGACGGAGACCCGACACUUCGGUGGCAGCGGUGGUACUCCCCACGAGGUUUGCAUCACUACCAAUCUCAAAGCUCAUAGCUGACUGCAGAUUAAUGGCUUCUACUUGGAUGCAGAUUGUUCUGCAGGAGGGCGAAUAUCUGGUGGGAAUGGCGGGAGAAUUUGCUAACUACCAUGGAGUGGUGGUGGUGGGGAAGCUUGGCUUCAGCACCAACAAGAAAUCCUACGGACCUUUCGGCAACACGGGAGGGACUCCCUUCUCCCUUCCUAUAGCAGCAGGCAAGAUCUCUGGCUUCUUCGGCCGCGACGGCCAGUUUCUUGACGCCAUUGGGGUCUACUUGGAGCCAUAAUUGGACACUGCAGUAAAUCACAAGAGUUGGUAUGUGCUACUUUGAGUGAUGAGAUGAACAAUGUCUGCAAUAAAUGGAUUGGUGUUUGCCAUCCCCAGCUGUUGUUGGAUGUUGCUUGGAAUAAUAAUGAUAUGGUGUGUUAUUAUCAGAGCAAUUGCAUCACUGAUUGGUUUGAGACUUCAGCCUUUAGGAUCGCAUAAAUAUAUAAACGAAAAUAAAUUAAUUUGAUGUAGAUGGUGAUUGGAGUAAUAAUUUUUAGGGUAGUGUUUUCGGGUUGGUUCGUAGGUUGACUCGACAGUGAUGUUAUAUGAGCACUCAUGGAUAAGGAUUUUUCAGCGUAAUUGACUAGCUUUAAACCGUUUAUCAUGUGAUUAUUCAUAAAAUUAAAAUUUAUAUUUUACAUUAUCUAUCUAAUGUUUAUCGUAAUAUUUAUUUAUGAGAUCUCGAGUUUAAUAUUUUUAUUAAUCUGUUUUCUUUUUUGUAUGUCCCUAGUGGACCUGAUGAGAUUAUGGGAAGACUAACAUUUUUCGAAUGAACACACAAGUGUGUGAUGCAACUUACGUAAAAUCAACUAAAUUGGUGAGUCUCUAAUUAUAUGUAUAACCAUCAACUUAGAAAAAAAAAAUAAAAAGAUCCGAUACAAAUGAGAUAAUAAUAUAUGUAUGAUAGUAAACGGUAAGGGAUCCUUUACUCUAAAAAGAUAACCCUUUACUCUAAAAAGAUAACCCAUUCGAUCAAAGAAUUAUUUAAUCUUUACAUAAAAAAAGAGUUUUGAUCUUUCACUGCAAGUUCUUUGUUACAUCAAAAGUACUAGAAAAUUAGGAUCCCACUAGCAAAUCAGCAUCGUUUCACAAAGUACAGUUUGGGGGCAAAGAUCCAAAUGUCGUACAAGCAGAUGAACAUAAAGAUAUCGGGACUUUGUGUUUUUGGGUCCGACAUGCAAUAACUCAUCAUUGAUUUCACGAGAGCAAGUUAUGGUUCACAUCAAAGGAGGAAAUGGACAUGCUAUCACUUUCAUCUAGAAUGGAGGAAUCACUACAGGAAAUGCCAAGUCAUGAAAAAUAUAGUAGAAAAUAUUUUCUUUGGAGUCAAUUGGAGAUUCAGUAAGACUGAUGCAAGAUUUCGGGUCUGAAUAACACUCGUCGGAGUGUCCCUUCCAAACGAAGAUUUGAAACAUACAAAAUUAGAAGAUUAUUUCUAUUAUAGAAUGGAAAUAUUGUGGAGCUCAGUGGUACAUCAAAUUUGGGCUCAUCAACAUAGUUUAAAUUUGAUCUAUAGUGAUGUAUGUGGUCACAUAUCAACUCAUGUCAUAAGUGGUUACUCCUACUUUAUUACUUUCAUUGAUGAUUUCUCUAGAUACAGAUAUGUAUACUUGAUAAAGUAUACGUCUGAAACCUUCGAGAAAUUUAAGAAGCAUAAGAAUGAAGUAGAGAACUAGAUUAUAAAGAGUAUCAAAACUUUUCGAUCAGAUCGAAGAGGUGAGUACUUGAGUAUAGAGUUCACCUGGUUCCUCAACGACCGUGAGAUUCGAUCUCAAUAGACAUCUCCUUAUAUACCUCAGUUUAAUUGUGUAUAUGAAAGGAGGAAUCACACACUAUUAGACAUGAUAUGGUCCAUAAUGAGUUUCGUUGACCUACUCGUCUCAUUUUAGUAAUAUACUAUAGAGUCUGCAGUUUACCUUAUGAAUAGAGUUCAAACUAAGUCGGUAGUGUCUAUACCAUAUGAGAUAUAGAAAGAAGAAGCUAGAUCUUAAGGUUAUUAAGAUUUGAGGCUACCCUCCCCAUGUUAAAAGAUACAACCCCGACAAGUUGGAAUCUAAGACGGAGAAGUAUAAGUUCGUAGGAUACCCUAAAGAAACUUGUAAGCACUAUUUCAAUUACCCCGAGGACCAAAAGUUCUUUGUAGCUAAGAACGUAGUAUUCUUUUAGAAGAAACACAUUCUUGGUGGAGACAAUGAGAGUAUGAUAGAGUUGAGCGAGGUUGGAGAACCUAGCUCAAGCACCAUUCCAUAACUAGAGUCUAUUCAGUUAUCUAGCACAUAAGUUCCGACUUUACGUAGGCUUGAUUAAAUACCACAUCAUCUUGGGAUAUAUGUGAGAUAUAUCAGAGGAGGGGAUGUUGAGAAUAUUGAUCCUCCGAUAUAUUAGAGAGAUUGUGGCCCGAGGAGAUGCAGUAGUGAAAAAAGUUCAAUCCGAAAAUAAUAUCACAGAUAUACUAACAAAGUCAUUGUCUUAGAUUAUCUUUGAGCAUCAUAGGGGUCUGAUAAGGAUCAGACACGUAGGUAAUUGACUCUAGGUCAAGUGGGAGAUUACUAGUCAUAUAUGUCCCGCAAGUCAAUCAUAUGAGUGAUGACACGUGUAACAUGAUAUAGUCUUUUUGCUUAUUAUUAUUAUUAUUAUUAUUAUUAUUAUUAUUAUAUUUUUUUUACUUUAUAUUGUUUUUUGCAUACAUAUAUUAUGAUAUUCGUGGAUAUAUGCAAUGAGAAUCGAAUCAUGAUGAUAUUACGAUAAUGAGACUGAUUUACUUUUAAACACACAUUAAAUAAUCCCAGUUAUAGGUUACUUGAGAGUGACAUUGAGAUAACCAGAUAGACUAUGUACUAUAUACUCAUACAUAUAAUAGAAGCGAUUAAUCUUAUAGCUAUUCAUGCAGGGGUACUAAGUUACAAUGUAGGUGAUCAUUGGAGAAUGAGUCUACUGAUUACUCCGCUUAUAGAAUGUUGGAUGGUUGAUGAUAUCUCAUUAUCAGACAACGAUUCCGUCAUCUCAGUGAUGUAUCUGAUCCUUAGAUUUAAGACACUAAGGAUGUCCUGUAUGAGUACUGCACUCUUUGAUACCAAACUUAUAGGCCUGAAAGUUUCAGAUCUAGUGCAUCCAAUUAUCGAGAGUGACAGCUAACAUUACGAGGGCUAUUGAGUGUCGAUAGAGGAUCAUCCACUUUCGGUGUUAUGAGAGGAAUAUCUCAUGUGUUCUUGCUCAAGAAAAUCACUAACCAAGGUCAUUCAGAUUAAAAAAGAAAAAGUUCUCCAAAAGAAUUCGAUUAGAGUGAGGCUCAAGUAAAAACCAUAUGAGGCUAAUAGCACCAUACCCAGUAUACGAUCUCUGAAAAAUUAGAUGGAUGAGAGAUUAUAGAUACACGAUAACUAAGGAUAGAUAUGUUCAAAGAAUUGUAUUCCUCUGUAUCGUCUGGGGACUGCAGCGUAGUGGCAUAGUAUAUUUGUAGUCGAUAAGUCGAGUGAAUUAUUAUGGAGAAAAUAAUUCACUGAGCUACAUGGAGUUCUGAUAGGUACGACUCGCGACUAGCUCGAUAUUGAGCCUAGAAGGUUACACACAUAUGGUAAGUGUUGUAAUGAGUGGAGAUUCAGAUUUGAGAUAUCCGCCAAAGCCUAUAUCUUAUUGGAUAUCCAAUAAGCUUCUGAAUUAUUGGAUCCUAUGGAUGAGAUCCAAUAAGAGACAAUGAGAGAUUAUUGGAUAGAGAUCUUAUUGGGAAAUCUAGGGUGACAUCACAUGCGCAGCGGAAGAAUAGAAAAUAAAAUCCUAGAAUUUCUCACAGAAAAUAAGAUUUCAUUAUCGUGUAAAGAUUUAUGCGCAAAAACUCAUGAAACUAAAAACUGCACAUAUAAGAAAGAUGUGUUACCUAGAGAGAUUGUAUAUUUCUAAAAACUUACAGAUCUAUGGAAGAGAAUGAAGGAGGUUAACUAUCCUCCUCUUUGGCGGUGAUCCACAUGACAGGGGUUACGAAGAUGCUCAUCAAAUUGUUGCCCAAAUCUCUUCCUCACGUGCACCACGUAAUCAAAAAGCGGUUGCCCCUUCUUGCUAUACACACGCCCCAAAUAGGGGCUACAGUAUGAGGAGGAGAGAGAGAGGGGAGAAUAGGAGGUGACAGUAAAAAAAAACUCAACCCAUGGCUCUUUGGUUCCCUCCUAUUUAUAUAGGUCCCUUGUUAACUUAACUCAUGUGGAUCUUAUCAUAUUGGGUACUAGAUCUUUAUCAAAUUACUCAAACCUUUUAGAUUAGUGGGUCACUACCAAAUAAUCUCUUAUUGGCUCUAAUUGGAUCUCAUCCAUAGUAUCCAAUAAUUCAGGGGCUUAAUGAAUAUCCAAUAAGAUAGGGACUCCUGUGGACAUCUCAUAUCCUAACCUCUACUCGUCACAACACCUACCAUAUGUGUGAAACCCUUUAGGCCCAAUAUCGAGCUGAUCGGGAGUCAUACAUAUCAUAACUCCUUUUGGCUUAGUGAAUUAUUAUCUCCAUAAUAAUUCACUCGACUCAUCGAAUACGAAUUUAUUAGGCCACUACGCCGUAGCCCUCAGAUGAUAUAGGGGAAUCCAAUCUUUUGGACCUAUCUGUCUUCAGUUAGUAUGUAUUUAUAGUCCAUCGUCCAUAUAAUGCCCCAAAGACCGUAUACCGAUCAUGGUAAUGUUAAGCUCGUACAAUUUCUACUCGAGUCUCACUCUAAUCGAAUUCUCUCGAAGAACUAUUUCUCUCUAAAUCCGAAUGACACUGGCCAAGGAUUUGUUUGAGUAAGAACACAUGAGAUAUUUGUCUUAUGACACUAAGAGUGAAUGAUCCUCUAUUGACACUUAAUAACCCUCGUAAGGUUGGCUACCACUCCCAAGAACCGGUUAUACAAGGUCUGAAACUUAUAGACAUAUAAAUCUGGUAUCAAAGAGUAGAGUACUCAUACAAGACAUCCUUGGUGUCUCAAUUUUAAGGACUAGAUGCACUAUUGGGAUGACGAAAUCACUGUUUAACAAUAAGGCAUCAUCAACCAUCCAGCAUUUUGUGAGCGGAUCAAUCAGUGAACUAAUUCUCUAAUGAGCACUUGUACUGUAUCUUAGUAUCCCCACACGAGCAGCUAUGAGACUAGUUAUCUUCAUCAUAUGAACAGGUAUAUGGUACACUAGUCUGUCCGGUUAUCUCGAUGUCCCUCUCAAGUAACCUAUGAUCGGGAUUAUUAGGGUCUAUAUUUAAAGGUAAAUCGGUCUUAUUAUCAUGAUCUCAUCAUAAUCUAAUUCCUAUUGUACAAAUUCGUGGACGUCACAAUAUACUCAUGCAACAAACAAUAUAAAGUGAUAAAAUAUCAAAUAAUAUAAUAAGUAAAAAGAAUGUGUGUCAUGUCACACAUGUCAUCACUCAUGUGAUUGGCUUGUAGGGCACUUAUAACUAGCAGAUCCACUAAUCUAAGAGGCUUAGAUAAUUGGAUAGAGAUCCAAUAUCCAAUAUGACAAGAUCCGUUAGAGUUGAGUUGACUUAUGGCCUCUAUAAAUAGGAGAGAACUAAAUGACCAUAGGCUAAGCCUUAUUAGUUGCCAUCUUAUAUUAUUCUCUCCCCUUCUCCUCAACCAUUGUGGAGAUUUUGGCAACGAUUACCAUUAGAGAGGAGGAUAGUUGACCUCCUUCAUCAUCUUCCAUAUAUAUGUAGGAAUUCGAGGAUAUACGAUCUCCCUAUGUAACAAAAUCUCAUUUAUACGUAUAGUUUUCGAUUUUACGAGUUUUUACGCGUCAAGCUUCGCAAGAUGACAAACACCUUUUAAGAAAUUUGAGAUUUUUAUUUUUUAUUUCUUCCGUUGCGUAUACGAUGUCGUCCCUAGAUUUCUCUAUAAUAGUAUCGUAUUGACACUUAUGCAUAGGGACUUUGGGAGAUGAUAUGUUAUAUUGGAUUCCUGCAUCAUUUGUAGUUUGUAAAAUUCAUCUUUGUAUUAUGCAUUAUCCGUUACUAAGAUAUUGAAAUCUUGAGUUUAAUGUUUCUAUUAAUUUAUUUUUUUAUAAAUUCUUAAAGGAUCCUACAAGUUAAUCCCUAUUUAUGAAUAUACAAACAUAUGACUUGGAUAAAAUCAAAUAAAAUCAAAAGUCUCUAUUUAUACUUAACAUGUAAGCACCAACAUAGAAGAAAAUAAAUAAUAUAUAUAUAUAUAUAUAUAUAUAUAAAUAUAUAUUUAUGAAGAAUAAAAUAAAAUUUUGUAUUACUUAUUCAUAUCCUACAGAUCUACGAUCUGCACCAUCAAACCAAAAAAAAAAGGGGCAUAUCUCUCCAGCGUAGCCGCGUAUUGACCAACUGGAUGUAUAUAAAUAUAUAUGCAUAUGAUAGAGUGUGUCUGUGUAUAUAUACCCCAUAUAAACUCUCAUGUCUCCCAACACGUUUCCAUGUGUCGACCGCCACGCCAUAUCCUUAUCCGCUCCUCUUUAAUUAUUGACCACACCUCCAUCCGUGAUCGUCGCCGGUCACGUCUUCGUCGUCGAGAGGCUCUACACGACCCUCAUCACGUGAUACACGCUUUCCUCGAGGAAGCCACGGACGACGGGGUGGGCGGUUCACCUCCACUCCACCCCGACAUCAGAGCCAUGGCAAUCCGCUAUAAGUAGCCUCUCUCCCUCUUCCCCAACAUCAUCUUCUGCAGAAGAAAGGGAGGAGUUUGGUUUACACAACACGAUGGUGAGAGGCUCUCUAUACACACAUAGUUUUCUGUCUGUGGAAUAGUUUGGUUACCUCCGUGCGUUGUGUGUUGACGUCGAUGGUGAUGCAGAACGGAGCGAUCAAGGUGGGAGCAUGGGGAGGGAACGGAGGGUCGGCCUUCGACAUGGGACCUGCUUAUCGUAUCAUCAGCGUCAAGGUUUUUUCCGGAGACGUGGUCGACGGCGUGGACGUCACCUUCACCUCCUACGGGAAGACGGAGACCCGACACUUCGGUGGCAGCGGUGGUACUCCCCACGAGGUUUGCAUCACUACCAAUCUCAAAGCUCAUAGCUGACUGCAGAUUAAUGGCUUCUACUUGGAUGCAGAUUGUUCUGCAGGAGGGCGAGUAUCUGGUGGGAAUGACGGGAGAAUUUGCUAACUACCAUGGAGUGGUGGUGGUGGGGAAGCUUGGCUUCAGCACCAACAAGAAAUCCUACGGACCUUUCGGCAACACGGGAGGGACUCCCUUCUCCCUUCCUAUAGCAGCAGGCAAGAUCUCUGGCUUCUUCGGCCGUGGCGGCAAGUUUCUUGACGCCAUUGGUGUCUAC